AUUGAACGCUGGCGGCAUGCCUUACAUAUGCAAGUCGAACGGCAGCACGGGUGCUUGCACCUGGUGGCGAGUGGCGAACGGGUGAGUAAUAUAUCGGAACGUACCUUAUUGUGGGGGAUAACGCAGCGAAAGCUGUGCUAAUACCGCAUAAUCCCUAAGGGGGAAAGCGGGGGACCGUAAGGCCUCGCGCAAUUAGAGCGGCCGAUACCUGAUUAGCUAGUUGGUGAGGUAAAGGCUCACCAAGGCAACGAUCAGUAGCUGGUCUGAGAGGACGAUCAGCCACACUGGGACUGAGACACGGCCCAGACUCCUACGGGAGGCAGCAGUGGGGAAUUUUGGAUAAUGGGGGGAACCCUGAUCCAGCAAUGCCGCGUGAGUGAAGAAGGCCUUCGGGUUGUAAAGCUCUUUUGUCAGGGAAGAAACAGCAGCUCUAACACAGUUUGCGAAUGACGGUACCUGAAGAAUAAGCACCGGCUAACUACGUGCCAGCCGCCGCGGUAA
Molecule: ribosomal RNA, 501 nt
Filed under: uncultured bacterium
Lineage: Bacteria
Description: partial 16S ribosomal RNA
Rfam family: Bacterial small subunit ribosomal RNA
Source: RNAcentral